Molecule: long non-coding RNA, 505 nt
Organism: Cebus imitator (Panamanian white-faced capuchin)
Lineage: Eukaryota; Metazoa; Chordata; Mammalia; Primates; Cebidae
Exons: 2
Source: RefSeq, a predicted model, not a curated record
UGAUUUGAUCACAAAGUGACCCUGCGUGGUUGUUUUGGGAGCGCAGAGGCUGGAGGUGAAGGAAGUGGGGGCGUGUCGAGACUUGUGGACCAGGUGACUGCUGACAAGGAGAGAAUAAGCUGGAGACACAACCGCGGAAGAGCUCUCCUUGGGUUAGGGGAAGGCUGAAUCCUUGUCACUGCUGUGUGUCCCCAGACGGACACGCUCCAAUUGUCUGGAGGUCUUCCUCACCAGUCAAGAAAAUAAAAUCCGGAAACAGCCUCCGGGCCGGCUUUAGCUCAGCGGUUACUUCGACAAUGCUUUCUUUGGUUGAAAACAAUCACUCUGCGUGGUUCGAGACCCGCGGGCGCUCUCCGGCCUUUUUACUCCUGAAGUUUAGCUCCCUUUCCAUGAUAAAAGGAACCAGGGCUCCCGGGAGAAAUGGCUGAUUUUGGUACUGGGCAGGAAAUACAGAGAUGGACGUGGAGUAUCUCCUAGUGGUACAAAGUAAGGAAGUGCUUAAAAA